UAGGGAAUAUUGGACAAUGGGGGCACCCCUGAUCCAGCCAUGCCGCGUGAGUGAAGAAGGCCCUCGGGUUGUGAAGCUCUUUUGUCCGGAAAGAAAAGCAUUCGGUGAAUACCCGGAUGUUCUGACGGUACCGGAAGAAUAAGCACCGGCUAACUUCGUGCCAGCAGCCGCGGUAAUACGAAGGGUGCAAGCGUUACUCGGAAUUACUGGGCGUAAAGCGUGCGUAGGUGGUUGUUUAAGUCUGAUGUGAAAGCCCUGGGCUCAACCUGGGAAUGGCAUUGGAAACUGGGCAGCUAGAGUGCGGUAGAGGGUAGUGGAAUUCCCGGUGUAGCAGUGAAAUGCGUAGAGAUCGGGAGGAACAUCUGUGGCGAAGGCGACUGCCUGGACCAGCACUGACACUGAGGCACGAAAGCGUGGGGAGCAAACA
This 427-nucleotide ribosomal RNA is filed under the name uncultured bacterium. RNAcentral's name for it is "bacterial SSU rRNA". It matches the Rfam family "Bacterial small subunit ribosomal RNA", at positions 355 to 774 of the family's 1533-position model. The record is from RNAcentral.